UGGGGAAUAUUGCGCAAUGGGGGAAACCCUGACGCAGCGACGCCGCGUGCGGGAUGAAGGCCUUCGGGUUGUAAACCGCUUUUGAUUGGGAGCAAGCUUUCGGGUGAGUGUACCUUUCGAAUAAGCGCCGGCUAACUACGUGCCAGCAGCCGCGGUAAUACGUAGGGCGCAAGCGUUAUCCGGAAUUAUUGGGCGUAAAGGGUUCGCAGGCGGAAAUGCAAGUCAGGUGUAAAAGGCAGUAGCUUAACUACUGUAAGCAUUUGAAACUGCAUAUCUUGAGAAGAGUAGAGGUAAGUGGAAUUUUUAGUGUAGCGGUGAAAUGCGUAGAUAUUAAAAAGAAUACCGGUGGCGAAGGCGACUUACUGGGCUCAUUCUGACGCUGAGGAACGAAAGCGUGGGUAGCAAACAGG
This 410-nucleotide ribosomal RNA is filed under the name Bacteroidota bacterium. RNAcentral's name for it is "Bacteroidetes bacterium partial 16S ribosomal RNA". It matches the Rfam family "Bacterial small subunit ribosomal RNA", at positions 355 to 776 of the family's 1533-position model. Lineage: Bacteria; Pseudomonadati; Bacteroidota. The record is from RNAcentral.